Molecule: transfer RNA, 62 nt
Filed under: Eudiplozoon nipponicum
Lineage: Eukaryota; Metazoa; Platyhelminthes; Monogenea; Mazocraeidea; Diplozoidae
Description: tRNA-Arg
Source: RNAcentral
GCUGAUAAACUAAUUAGUUAGGGCUGCAGUACGGUUGUAGUUUUGAGAUUUCUCUAUUAGUU